This is a long non-coding RNA of Vitis riparia (riverbank grape), 598 nucleotides long. RefSeq lists it as uncharacterized. The record is from RefSeq and is a predicted model, not a curated record. NCBI's taxonomy places the organism in Eukaryota, Viridiplantae, Streptophyta, Magnoliopsida, Vitales, Vitaceae. The transcript has 2 exons.
CGAAAAGAGAGCGCGAAUCGCCUGAGAAUUCUCCGACGAUCUUGUGCUUCGACAUUUUCCGGCCACCGGAUCUCACCGUAAACAUGACAACAUCAAGGCGUCUUGCAGAUAGGAAGGUAGAGAAGUUUGAGAAGAACAUCACCAAGAGGGGAUCUGUGCCUGAAACGACUACUAAGAAGGGAAGUGACUAUCCUGUUGGGCCUGUUCUGCUUGGGUUCUUCGUCUUUGUUGUCAUUGGAUCUUGUAAGCUUCUCCUUCAUUUAGUUUUUACCAUUUCUUACUGCUAUUGAUAUUGAUAUACAUUUUUAUCAGUUUUCAAAGUUUCUCUAAGGACUUUUCACACGUAGCGGUAUUACAUGGUUGUGCCUUUUCUUUCUCUCCUUUGUCAGCCAGAUAUACGAAGAUAUCCAUCUCUGUCUCUAUUAUGCCCAUGAACACACUUGAUCACCUUAUUCAGAUUAAUAGUAACCAGAUUAAGUUAUUAUAUUUAUUUAAGCAUAGAUAGAAUAGACCUUCUUGGAUAGAAGGAUAGUCCUCGGUAAUUUGGUGAAAAGAAAAUCGUUGAUCUAAUUUAAUAAAUCCGUCUGGUUCCCACUGA